RNAcentral lists this ribosomal RNA (299 nucleotides) under Streptococcus agalactiae. RNAcentral describes it as "partial 16S ribosomal RNA". It matches the Rfam family "Bacterial small subunit ribosomal RNA", at positions 1 to 291 of the family's 1533-position model. Lineage: Bacteria; Bacillati; Bacillota; Bacilli; Lactobacillales; Streptococcaceae. The record is from RNAcentral.
UUUAAUGAGAGUUUGAUCCUGGCUCAGGACGAACGCUGGCGGCGUGCCUAAUACAUGCAAGUAGAACGCUGAGGUUUGGUGUUUACACUAGACUGAUGAGUUGCGAACGGGUGAGUAACGCGUAGGUAACCUGCCUCAUAGCGGGGGAUAACUAUUGGAAACGAUAGCUAAUACCGCAUAAGAGUAAUUAACACAUGUUGUUAUUUAAAAGGAGCAAUUGCUUCACUGUGAGAUGGACCUGCGUUGUAUUAGCUAGUUGGUGAGGUAAAGGCUCACCAAGGCGACGAUACAUAGCCGAC